CCUUAGGCCAUCUGGUGUGGUAUAUGUUUAGCCAGUGAAAUCUUGUGACGUGGGGCUAGCCAGAUAGCCUUUAGCCGGUGAAAGCUUGUGAUGUGGGCUAGCCAGAUAGCAGACUCCACAUAAAUUUUGUCAAUGCGCUAGCCAGAUAGCAAUGCUUGUGGUGAACCUUUGUGGCCCCUAUCAACUUUUUUUUUUUUCUUCUUUCUUUCCCAUCUAUUUUUUCCCCUCUAAAGUCUUUCUUUGAUUCAUUUGUGAUCAGUCUUAUACGGCGGACCGGCGGCCACAUGUUGUAACUAGUCACUGAUGUAACCGACAACUUUUAUGUGCAUAGCCAGCCGGCGUGCGGGCUGCUCAUAGACAUUGGUGGCAUAAUAAAGGGUUAUCAACUCAACAAAUUGAUGAUGAUCAAGAUCUUGCUUGCACUCAUGGUAGGGUUUGCGUUGAUCUUGGGAGUUGUUCAAGUCCAUGCAAAAAGGCACCUUCUGGAGGAAGAUGGUACUGAUAUAUAUAAUAAACCUGCAGGUGCAAUUGUGAAUCAUACCCCUUGCUACCAUAUAGUUAAUAAAAGUAAAGAUCAAGAUCAUGCAAAUGUUGGCGGCGGAGUUGCUGGCAGUACUGAUCGUAAGGUUCUGGCAACAAGAGAUGAUGCUACUGAUAUAUAUAAUACACCUGAAGGUUCACCUGUGAAUCGUAAACCUCACAUCCAUAUAGCAGCACCUACUCCAAAACGAAAAUGAUCGGCAUAGCCAACGUCCUUACCUUGUUCUAAAGGCUAGUUCAUAGUGAAUUGCAUGAUCGAACUUGUGUAUUACUUAUAUAUGGUGUGUUUGUAUUAUAUAUGUAAUAAUGUGGAACCAACAUGUAAGUUGCCAAAAAGUAUAUAUGUAUAUAUGUGUGUACUUAUGGCACAUGUACGUGAGUGGUUCACAAAUUAUGUUCCAAGUAUCAAUUUACAUGUUGUUGUGUGUACAUGUGUGAUGUUUGUUGACUUGGGCUUGUAGGCCGAGUAAGCUUUGUAUGAUACUCGUGUUAGAAUUAAAUAAAACCACCAUGGCUGGCAUGGUUUUGUGA
This is a long non-coding RNA of Cornus florida, 1071 nucleotides long. RefSeq lists it as uncharacterized. The record is from RefSeq and is a predicted model, not a curated record. The transcript has 2 exons. NCBI's taxonomy places the organism in Eukaryota, Viridiplantae, Streptophyta, Magnoliopsida, Cornales, Cornaceae.